Molecule: ribosomal RNA, 571 nt
Filed under: uncultured bacterium
Lineage: Bacteria
Description: bacterial SSU rRNA
Rfam family: Bacterial small subunit ribosomal RNA
Source: RNAcentral
AGCGAACGCUGGCGGCAGGCUUAACACAUGCAAGUCGAGCGGGCCCUUCGGGGUCAGCGGCAGACGGGUGAGUAACACGUGGGAACGUACCCUUUGGUUCGGAAUAACGCUGGGAAACUAGCGCUAAUACCGGAUACCCCCUUUUGGGGAAAGGCUUGCUGCCGAAGGAUCGGCCCGCGUCUGAUUAGCUAGUUGGUGGGGUAAUGGCCUACCAAGGCGACGAUCAGUAGCUGGUCUGAGAGGAUGAUCACCCACACUGGGACUGAGACACGGCCCACACUCCUACGGGAGACAGCAGUGGGGAAUAUUGGACAAUGGGCGCAAGCCUGACCCAGCCAUGCCGCGUGAGUGAUGAAGGCCUUAGGGUUGUAAAGCUCUUUUGUCCGGGACGAUAAUGACGGUACCGGAAGAAUACGCCCCGGCUAACUUCGUGCCAGCAGCCGCGGUAAUACGAAGGGGGCUAGCGUUGCUCGGAAUCACUGGGCGUAAAGGGCGCGUAGGCGGCCAUUCAAGUCGGGGGUGAAAGCCUGUGGCUCAACCACAGAAUUGCCUUCGAUACUGUUUGGCUUGA